AGCGAACGCUGGCGGCAGGCCUAACACAUGCAAGUCGAACGAACUCUUCGGAGUUAGUGGCGGACGGGUGAGUAACGCGUGAGCAACCUGCCUUAUGUAGAGGGAUAACAUUGGGAAACCGGUGCUAAUACCUCAUAAUAUAUUUGAUAAGCAUUUAUUGAAUAUCAAAGGAGCAAUCCGACAUAAGAUGGGCUCGCGUCUGAUUAGGCAGUUGGUGAGGUAACGGCUAACCAAACCAUCGAUCAGUAGCCGGACUGAGAGGUCGAACGGCCACAUUGGAACUGAGAAACGGUCCAGACUCCUACGGGAGGCAGCAGUGGGGAAUAUUGGGCAAUGGGCGAAAGCCUGACCCAGCGACGCCGCGUGAAGGAAGAAGGUCUUCGGAUUGUAAGCUUUUGUCAACAGGGAAGAAGAAAGUGACGGUACCUGUGGAGGAAGCCACGGCUAACUACGUGCCAGCCGCCGCGGUAA
RNAcentral lists this ribosomal RNA (471 nucleotides) under uncultured bacterium. RNAcentral's name for it is "partial 16S ribosomal RNA". It matches the Rfam family "Bacterial small subunit ribosomal RNA", at positions 29 to 523 of the family's 1533-position model. The record is from RNAcentral.